AUUAAAAGUUCUUGAAAAAAAUCUGAGAAAGACUGUAAACCAAAUAAACUAGUAUCAUAAUAACACACACCACAAAUGUAAAAAGGUAAGUAACUAACAAGGUCAGCAAAUUUUUUAUUAUUUUUCCUUUGAUAACAAAAUAGGUUUAGUAACCCCUGGUCACUAAACUCACAUAAUCCUGUGUGUGUGUGUGUGUGUGUGUGUGUGUAUGUGUGUGUAAGUAAAGAUACAUACAUUACACACAGUUUUUACAUUUAUAUUUUAAAUGCUGUGGAAAAGGAAAGGUUUAGUUCUUUUCCAUAAAUAGAAUUAAUACAAACUGAAUGAAUAGUAUCUACAACAGAAAUCCUGAAAUUUUCCUUCUGAAGGCAUAAAUUGCUUUCAUUAACAUUAAGCAGAGCACACACAAUCUCUCCAACACAAACCAAGAAAACACAUUAAUGAAGGGACCACCCACUUCUCCAUCUUUUCUGAUAGUUUUCUUGUAACGCAAAGCUGAACUAGCAACAUCAUCUAACUAGAAGAAACAAUUAAAUGGCUCCUGCUCUUCUACAUAAACUGACGGAUAUAGGAUGAAAGAAACAUCUGGGCCUGUCUAUAUCAGCGAACCACAGCUUGCAGUCACUUCACCUUCAGCGGGGUCUGCUGUGACCUAAUUAAAACUGCUGGUUCCAGAAGUUGUCUAAU
This 687-nucleotide long non-coding RNA is filed under the name Homo sapiens (human). Its description in RNAcentral is "HSALNT0265296". The record is from RNAcentral. Lineage: Eukaryota; Metazoa; Chordata; Mammalia; Primates; Hominidae.